This 342-nucleotide long non-coding RNA is filed under the name Pan troglodytes (chimpanzee). RNAcentral describes it as "long non-coding RNA NONPTRT017734". Lineage: Eukaryota; Metazoa; Chordata; Mammalia; Primates; Hominidae. The record is from RNAcentral.
AAUGACAGUCACUUGAUCCCAGGCAUUGCCACCUGGGGUAUCGUUGUCAUGGCAGACCCCAAAGGGAAGGCCUACCGCGUUGUUUGAAAGUACCACCAGUGAAUCUGUCUUCUGUCUCUGUCCCUUUCCCCGUGACGCACAGAGCAGGCAUGGAAUUUAAUGGGUGUUCUGGACAGACACUUGUACAUGGACAGACAUCACUACUGUGGAUACUACAAGACUGAAAAGAAAAUCGUAUGUUGUCAUUCUCUGGCUGUGGAGUGUUUGUGGCCUUCACAGAUUUCACAGGAACCAAUAAAUCCCUCAGAGAAGUAAACAGGUUCUUUGUCUUAUCUGGGGAAG